CACGUAGGGUGCGAGCGUUGUCCGGAAUUAUUGGGCGUAAAGAGCUCGUAGGCGGUGUGUCGCGUCGGCCGUGAAAACCUGCAGCUUAACUGUGGGCGUGCGGUCGAUACGGGCAUCACUGGAGUUCGGCAGGGGAGACUGGAAUUCCUGGUGUAGCGGUGAAAUGCGCAGAUAUCAGGAGGAACACCGGUGGCGAAGGCGGGUCUCUGGGCAGAUACUGACGCUGAGGAGCGAAAGCGUGGGGAGCGAACAGG
RNAcentral lists this ribosomal RNA (254 nucleotides) under uncultured bacterium. Its description in RNAcentral is "partial 16S ribosomal RNA". It matches the Rfam family "Bacterial small subunit ribosomal RNA", at positions 524 to 776 of the family's 1533-position model. The record is from RNAcentral.